AGAAAAAAACUAUCUUCUCUUAGGACCUUUUCUAUUAUAUAUUAUUUUUGAUUUUAGGGAGGUCAAAGGGUUUGACUUCUCCCUCAUUCCUCCUCAUAUUCUUCAUCUCUUAGAAUGUCCAAGAGAUCCGAAGAAUAUUUUUAGAUUAACCAUCCGGAGGGAUCCACAAGAAGCUAGCACUUCGAGCGGAUCUUCGUUCGACGAACCUCUGAUUUUGUUGCAGCUCCAAAGGCAAUAAAAGAAAUCAAUCACGAAGUUCUCAAUCCACGCGAAGGUAA
This 278-nucleotide long non-coding RNA is filed under the name Elaeis guineensis (African oil palm). Its description in RNAcentral is "long non-coding RNA (EGUI_LNC053798)". Lineage: Eukaryota; Viridiplantae; Streptophyta; Magnoliopsida; Arecales; Arecaceae. The record is from RNAcentral.